RNAcentral lists this ribosomal RNA (388 nucleotides) under uncultured bacterium. RNAcentral describes it as "bacterial SSU rRNA". It matches the Rfam family "Bacterial small subunit ribosomal RNA", at positions 28 to 417 of the family's 1533-position model. The record is from RNAcentral.
GACGAACGCUGGCGGCGUGCUUAACACAUGCAAGUCGAGCGGUAAGGCCCUUUCGGGGGUACGACGAGCGGCGAACGGGUGAGUAACACGUGGGUGACCUGCCCUUAGCUCUGGGAUAAGCCUGGGAAACUGGGUCUAAUACCGGAUAUGACUCCAUGACGCAUGUUGUGGGGUGGAAAGCCUUGUGCGGCUAGGGAUGGGCCCGCGGCCUAUCAGCUUGUUGGUGGGGUGAUGGCCACCAAGGCGACGACGGGUAGCCGGCCUGAGAGGGCGACCGGCCACACUGGGACUGAGAUACGGCCCAGACUCCUACGGGAGGCAGCAGUGGGGAAUCUUGCGCAAUGGGCGAAAGCCUGACGCAGCGACGCCGCGUGAGGGAUGACGGCCU